GUGGGGAAGAUGAAGGUAGAGGAGGCUGCGAAGAAGACUGCUGAUAAGAGCAAGGGGAUUUUGAACAAUAUCGAGCGGUGGCAGAAGGGAGUGGCGAGCAGUGAUGUGUUUGGUGUCCCGAUCGAACUAACUGUACAACGACAACACACUUUCAGGCCUAUUCCUCAAAUAUUAGUCAAAUGUGCAGAUAAUCUCAUAAUAUCAGGAUUACAUGAUGAAUACUUGUUCAAAUCGGAUGGGGAUAAAAAAGCUAU
RNAcentral lists this unclassified non-coding RNA (254 nucleotides) under Hevea brasiliensis (rubber tree). The record is from RNAcentral. Lineage: Eukaryota; Viridiplantae; Streptophyta; Magnoliopsida; Malpighiales; Euphorbiaceae.